RNAcentral lists this ribosomal RNA (234 nucleotides) under uncultured bacterium. RNAcentral describes it as "partial 16S ribosomal RNA". It matches the Rfam family "Bacterial small subunit ribosomal RNA", at positions 102 to 334 of the family's 1533-position model. The record is from RNAcentral.
ACGGGUGAGGAACACGUAUCCAACCUGCCGUCUACUCUUGGCCAGCCUUCUGAAAGGAAGAUUAAUCCAGGAUGGCAUCAUGAGUUCACAUGUCCGCAUGAUUAAAGGUAUUUUCCGGUAGACGAUGGGGAUGCGUUCCAUUAGAUAGUAGGCGGGGUAACGGCUCACCUAGUCAACGAUGGAUAGGGGUUCUGAGAGGAAGGUCCCCCACAUUGGAACUGAGACACGGUCCAA